RNAcentral lists this ribosomal RNA (495 nucleotides) under uncultured bacterium. Its description in RNAcentral is "partial 16S ribosomal RNA". It matches the Rfam family "Bacterial small subunit ribosomal RNA", at positions 28 to 507 of the family's 1533-position model. The record is from RNAcentral.
GACGAACGCUGGCGGCGUGCCUAAUACAUGCAAGUAGAACGCUGAAGGAGGAGCUUGCUCUUCUGGAUGAGUUGCGAACGGGUGAGUAACGCGUAGGUAACCUGCCUGGUAGCGGGGGAUAACUAUUGGAAACGAUAGCUAAUACCGCAUAACAGUAGAUGUUGCAUGACAUUUGCUUAAAAGGUGCAAUUGCAUCACUACCAGAUGGACCUGCGUUGUAUUAGCUAGUUGGUGGGGUAACGGCUCACCAAGGCGACGAUACAUAGCCGACCUGAGAGGGUGAUCGGCCACACUGGGACUGAGACACGGCCCAGACUCCUACGGGAGGCAGCAGUAGGGAAUCUUCGGCAAUGGACGGAAGUCUGACCGAGCAACGCCGCGGGAGGGAAGAAGGGUUUCGGAUCGUAAAGCUCUGUUGUAAGAGAAGAACGAGUGUGAGAGUGGAAAGUUCACACUGUGACGGUAGCUUACCAGAAAGGGACGGCUAACUACGUG